AUUGAACGCUGGCGGCAUGCUUUACACAUGCAAGUCGAACGGCAGCGCGGGCUUCGGCCUGGCGGCGAGUGGCGAACGGGUGAGUAAUGCAUCGGAACGUGCCCAGUAGUGGGGGAUAGCCCGGCGAAAGCCGGAUUAAUACCGCAUACGACCUGAGGGUGAAAGCGGGGGACCGAAAGGCCUCGCGCUAUUGGAGCGGCCGAUGUCGGAUUAGCUAGUUGGUGGGGUAAAGGCUUACCAAGGCGACGAUCCGUAGCUGGUCUGAGAGGACGACCAGCCACACUGGGACUGAGACACGGCCCAGACUCCUACGGGAGGCAGCAGUGGGGAAUUUUGGACCAUGGGGGCAACCCUGAUCCAGCCAUGCCGCGUGCGGGAAGAAGGCCUUCGGGUUGUAAACCGCUUUUGUUCGGGAAGAAAUCCUCUGGGCUAAUACCCCGGGGGGAUGACGGUACCGGAAGAAUAAGCACCGGCUAACUACGUG
Molecule: ribosomal RNA, 484 nt
Filed under: uncultured bacterium
Lineage: Bacteria
Description: partial 16S ribosomal RNA
Rfam family: Bacterial small subunit ribosomal RNA
Source: RNAcentral